AUGCACGCUGGCGGCGUGCCUCAUCCCUGCAAGUCGCGCGAACGGACGAGAAGCUUGCUUCUCUGAUGUUAGCGGCGGACGGGUGAGUAACACGUGGAUAACCUACCUAUAAGACUGGGAUAACUUCGGGAAACCGGAGCUAAUACCGGAUAAUAUUUUGAACCGCAUGGUUCAAAGGUAAAAGACGGUCUUGCUGUCACUUAUAGAUGGAUCCGCGCUGCAUUAGCUAGUUGGUAAGGUAACGGCUUACCAAGGCAACGAUGCAUAGCCGACCUGAGAGGGUGAUCGGCCACACUGGAACUGAGACACGGUCCAGACUCCUACGGGAGGCAGCAGUAGGGAAUCUUCCGCAAUGGGCGAAAGCCUGACGGAGCAACGCCGCGUGAGUGAUGAAGGUCUUCGGAUCGUAAAACUCUGUUAUUAGGGAAGAACAUAUGUGUAAGUAACUGUGCACAUCUUGACGGUACCUAAUCAGAAAGCCACGGCUAACUACGUG
RNAcentral lists this ribosomal RNA (496 nucleotides) under uncultured bacterium. RNAcentral's name for it is "partial 16S ribosomal RNA". It matches the Rfam family "Bacterial small subunit ribosomal RNA", at positions 29 to 507 of the family's 1533-position model. The record is from RNAcentral.